This 650-nucleotide long non-coding RNA is filed under the name Numida meleagris (helmeted guineafowl). Its description in RNAcentral is "lncRNA (ENSNMEG00000008236.1)". Lineage: Eukaryota; Metazoa; Chordata; Aves; Galliformes; Numididae. The record is from RNAcentral.
GUUUAGUUUACUUGAUCCUGCCUCAGUGCAGGUUAUUAGGAUAGUUUUGUGUGUGUGUUUCCUUUUAGCCAUACAGCUCUGUAAUGUACACUCUCCAUGGACAAUCUGGGAGAAAUUAGAGUUGAAUCCAAAUAAUCAGGCUGGGACUGAUACUCAUGUCUAGAUGAAACAACCCAAAUAUGAAGGCGGAAACUCAAGUAGUACUGAAGGAUAGAAGAUUAAAUGAUUGACGAAGCAGCUGAAACUUACUGAGCUCCAUUCGAUGUGUUGUGCAGCCCUAACGGUGCUGGAAGGGAAUAUAGGGAAGAUGAUGCUAUGAAAAUAAGCAAAAAAAAAAAGACUCACAGUGAUGAGGAGUUUGAGGAGCCAGAUUCUCCGCCAAACCAAACGGAGCAAUGCCCAGGCUGCUCUUCCUUUACACCAAGAGGCAGGCAGAAAGGAGUCAGGCAGGCCGUCACACUAGGUAAGGAUAUGUCGGAUAUAUCAAUAUGUCAGAGUUGGAAUCAAGCUUCAGGCACUGCACAGGGACCAGAGACUCUAACGCAUCCUCCCUGCAUGUGUUCAGGCUCUUCAGAUUUUGCUCUGCAUGUCUGAAAAUGCUUUGCAUUUAUUCAUUUGCAUUUGCAGAGAAGCUGUUCCUUAGUUCUCCU